AGAGUUUGAUCCUGGCUCAGGAGGGGGCUGCUAUACAUGCAGUCGAACGAACUCUGGUAUUGAUUGGUGCUUGCAUCAUGAUUUACAUUUGAGUGAGUGGCGAACUGGUGAGUAACACGUGGGAAACCUGCCCAGAAGCGGGGGAUAACACCUGGAAACAGAUGCUAAUACCGCAUAACAACUUGGACCGCAUGGUCCGAGUUUGAAAGAUGGCUUCGGCUAUCACUUUUGGAUGGUCCCGCGGCGUAUUAGCUAGAUGGUGGGGUAACGGCUCACCAUGGCAAUGAUACGUAGCCGACCUGAGAGGGUAAUCGGCCACAUUGGGACUGAGACACGGCCCAAACUCCUACGGGAGGCAGCAGUAGGGAAUCUUCCACAAUGGACGAAAGUCUGAUGGAGCAACGCCGCGUGAGUGAAGAAGGGUUUCGGCUCGUAAAACUCUGUUGUUAAAGAAGAACAUAUCUGAGAGUAACUGUUCAGGUAUUGACGGUAUUUAACCAGAAAGCCACGGCUAACUACGUGCCAGCAGCCGCGGUAAUACGUAGGUGGCAAGCGUUGUCCGGAUUUAUUGGGCGUAAAGCGAGCGCAGGCGGUUUUUUAAGUCUGAUGUGAAAGCCUUCGGCUCAACCGAAGAAGUGCAUCGGAAACUGGGAAACUUGAGUGCAGAAUAGGACAGUGGAACUCCAUGUGUAGCGGUGAAAUGCGUAUAUAUAUGGAAGAACACCAGUGGCGAAGGCGGCUGUCUGGUCUGUAACUGACGCUGACGCUCGAAAGUAUGGGUAGCAAACAGGAUUAGAUACCCUGGUAGUCCAUACCGUACACGAUGAAUGCUAAGUGUUGGAGGGUUUCCGCCCUUCACUGCUGCAGCUAACGCAUUAAGCUUUCCGCCUGGGGAGUACGGCCUGCAAGGCUGACAACUCACAUGUAAUUGACGGGGGCCCGCACAAGCGGUGGCAGCAUGUGCUUUCAAUUCGAAGCUACGCGAAGAAGCUUUACCUAGGU
RNAcentral lists this ribosomal RNA (1002 nucleotides) under Lactiplantibacillus plantarum. Its description in RNAcentral is "bacterial SSU rRNA". It matches the Rfam family "Bacterial small subunit ribosomal RNA", at positions 8 to 980 of the family's 1533-position model. Lineage: Bacteria; Bacillati; Bacillota; Bacilli; Lactobacillales; Lactobacillaceae. The record is from RNAcentral.